GUGGUGGCUCAGUGGUAGAGCACUUGCCUAGCAAGGGUGAGGCACUGGGUUCAAUUCUCAGCACCACA
RNAcentral lists this transfer RNA (68 nucleotides) under Marmota monax (woodchuck). It matches the Rfam family "tRNA". From Rfam's summary of the family: Transfer RNA (tRNA) molecules are approximately 80 nucleotides in length. Their secondary structure includes four short double-helical elements and three loops (D, anti-codon, and T loops). Further hydrogen bonds mediate the characteristic L-shaped molecular structure. tRNAs have two regions of fundamental functional importance: the anti-codon, which is responsible for specific mRNA codon recognition, and the 3' end, to which the tRNAs corresponding amino acid is attached (by aminoacyl-tRNA synthetases). tRNAs cope with the degeneracy of the genetic code in two manners: having more than one tRNA (with a specific anti-codon) for a particular amino acid; and 'wobble' base-pairing, i.e. permitting non-standard base-pairing at the 3rd anti-codon position. The record is from Rfam by way of RNAcentral. Lineage: Eukaryota; Metazoa; Chordata; Mammalia; Rodentia; Sciuridae.